UACGUAGGGUGCGAGCGUUAAUCGGAAUUACUGGGCGUAAAGCGUGCGCAGGCGGUUACAUAAGACAGAUGUGAAAUCCCCGGGCUUAACCUGGGAACUGCGUUUGUGACUAUGUGACUAGAGUACGGCAGAGGGGGGUGGAAUUCCUGGUGUAGCAGUGAAAUGCGUAGAUAUCAGGAGGAACAUCGAUGGCGAAGGCAGCCCCCUGGGAUAACACUGACGCUCAUGCACGAAAGCGUGGGGAGCAAACAGG
This 253-nucleotide ribosomal RNA is filed under the name uncultured bacterium. RNAcentral describes it as "partial 16S ribosomal RNA". It matches the Rfam family "Bacterial small subunit ribosomal RNA", at positions 524 to 776 of the family's 1533-position model. The record is from RNAcentral.